GAUGAACGCUAGCGACAGGCUUAACACAUGCAAGUCGAGGGGCAGCAUAGAAGUAGCAAUACUUUGGUGGCGACCGGCGCACGGGUGAGUAACGCGUAUGCAACCUACCUAUCAGGGGGGGAUAACCCGGCGAAAGUCGGACUAAUACCGCAUAAAACAGGGGCACCGCGUGGUGAUAUUUGUUAAAGAUUAAUUGCUGAUAGAUGGGCAUGCGUUCCAUUAGGUAGUUGGUGAGGUAAUGGCUCACCAAGCCGACGAUGGAUAGGGGAACUGAGAGGUUGGUCCCCCACACUGGUACUGAGACACGGACCAGACUCCUACGGGAGGCAGCAGUGAGGAAUAUUGGUCAAUGGGCGAGAGCCUGAACCAGCCAAGUCGCGUGAAGGAAGAAGGAUCUAUGGUUCGUAAACUUCUUUUGCAGGGGAAUAAAGUGGAGGACGUGUCCUCUUUUGUAUGUACCCUGAGAAUAAGGAUCGGCUAACUCCGUGCCAGCAGCCGCAGUAA
RNAcentral lists this ribosomal RNA (504 nucleotides) under uncultured bacterium. Its description in RNAcentral is "partial 16S ribosomal RNA". It matches the Rfam family "Bacterial small subunit ribosomal RNA", at positions 28 to 523 of the family's 1533-position model. The record is from RNAcentral.